GCUUGUCUCAAAGAUUAAGCCAUGCAUGUAUAAGUAUAAACGCUUUAAGCGUGAAACCGCGAACGGCUCAUUACAACAGCUAUAAUUUACUUGAUCUUGACAAACUUACAUGGAUAACUGAGGUAAUUCUUGAGCUAAUACAUGCACCAAAGCUUUGACCGUAAGGGAAGAGCGCAUUUAUUAGAACAAAACCAAACGGCUUCGGCUGUUCCCAGUUGAAUCAGAAUAACUCAGCUGAUCGUACGGUCUUGCACCGACGACGUGUCUUUCAAGUAUCUGCUUUAUCAACUUUCGAUGGUAGGGUAUCUGCCUACCAUGGUGGUGACGGAUAACGGAGGAUCAGGGUUCGACUCCGGAGAAGGGGCCUGAGAAAUGGCCACUACGUCUAAGGAUGGCAGCAGGCGCGCAAAUUACCCACUCUCAGAAUUUGGAGGAGGUAGUGACGAGAAAUAACGAGGUUGAUCUCUUCUGAGGCCAACCAUCGGAAUGGGUACAAUUUAAACCCUUUAACGAGUAUCUAUGAGAGGGCAAGUCUGGUGCCAGCAGCCGCGGUAAUUCCAGCUCUCAAAAUGCAUAGAAUUAUUGCUGCGGUUAAAAAGCUCGUAGUUGGAUCUGCAGCCGGAGCUCCGGUCCAUCUUCGGAUGUGUACUGGAUGUCUUCGGCUUUCUGACAGUGUUCGGCUCUGUGCCUCUAACCAGGUGUGGAUGUCCGAUACUGUAAGUUUACUUUGAAUAAAUCAGAGUGCUCUAAACAGGCGUUUUGCUUGAAUGAUUGUGCAUGGAAUAAUAGAAGAGGAUUUCGGUUCUAUUUUAUUGGUUUUAUAGACUGAGAUAAUGGUUAACAGAGACAAACGGGGGCAUUUGUAUGGCUACGUGAGAGGUGAAAUUCUUGGACC
This 895-nucleotide ribosomal RNA is filed under the name Pratylenchus penetrans. Its description in RNAcentral is "SSU rRNA". It matches the Rfam family "Eukaryotic small subunit ribosomal RNA", at positions 30 to 926 of the family's 1831-position model. Lineage: Eukaryota; Metazoa; Nematoda; Chromadorea; Rhabditida; Pratylenchidae. The record is from RNAcentral.